RNAcentral lists this ribosomal RNA (390 nucleotides) under uncultured bacterium. RNAcentral describes it as "bacterial SSU rRNA". It matches the Rfam family "Bacterial small subunit ribosomal RNA", at positions 29 to 414 of the family's 1533-position model. The record is from RNAcentral.
AUUGAACGCUGGCGGAAUGCUUUACACAUGCAAGUCGAGCGGCAGCGCGGGGGCAACCCUGGCGGCGAGCGGCGAACGGGUGAGUAACAUAUCGGAACGUACCCAGUCGUGGGGGAUAACUAUCCGAAAGGAUAGCUAAUACCGCAUACGUCCUGAGGGAGAAAGCGGGGGAUCGCAAGACCUCGCGCGAUUGGAGCGGCCGAUAUCGGAUUAGCUAGUUGGUGGGGUAAAGGCUCACCAAGGCGACGAUCCGUAGCGGGUCUGAGAGGACGACCCGCCACACUGGAACUGAGACACGGUCCAGACUCCUACGGGAGGCAGCAGUGGGGGAAUUUUUGGACAAUGGGGGCGAACCCUCGAUCCAGCCACUUCCGCCGUGAGUGAAGAAGG